CAAUAGCGUAUAUUAAAGUUGUUGUGGUUAAAAAGCUCGUAGUUGGAUUUCUGCUGAGGACGACCGGUCCGCCCUCCGGGUGAGCAUCUGGUUCGGCCUUGGCAUCUUCUUGGUGAACGUAUCUGCACUUGACUGUGUGGUGCGGUACCCAGGACUUUUACUUUGAGGAAAUUAGAGUGUUUCAAGCAGGCAUACGCCUUGAAUACAUUAGCAUGGAAUAAUAAGAUAGGACCUUGGUUCUAUUUUGUUGGUUCUAGAGCUUAGGUAAUGAUUAAUAGGGACACUUGGGGCCAUUCGUAUUAACGCGUCAGAGGUGAAAUUCUUGGAUUGCGUUACGACGAACUACUGCGAAAGCAUUUGGCAAGGAUGUUUUUCAUUGAUCAAGAACGAAAGUGUGGGGGAUCGAAGACGAUUAGAU
Molecule: ribosomal RNA, 418 nt
Filed under: uncultured eukaryote
Lineage: Eukaryota
Description: SSU rRNA
Rfam family: Eukaryotic small subunit ribosomal RNA
Source: RNAcentral